ACCUCUUUCAGCAGGGAAGAAGCGCAAGUGACGGUACCUGCAGAAGAAGCGCCGGCUAACUACGUGCCAGCAGCCGCGGUAAUAYGUAGGGCGCAAGCGUUGUCCGGAAUUAUUGGGCGUAAAGAGCUAGUAGGCGGUUUGUCGCGUCUGCUGUGAAAACUUCAGGCUCAACCUGGGGCUUGCAGUGGGUACGGGCAGACUAGAGUGCGGUAGGGGUGACUGGAAUUCCUGGUGUAGCGGUGGAAUGCGCAGAUAUCAGGAGGAACACCGAUGGCGAAGGCAGGUCACUGGGCCGCAACUGACGCUGAGGAGCGAAAGCAUGGGGAGCGAACAGGAUUAGAUACCCUGGUAGUCCAUGCCGUAAACGUUGGGCACUAGGUGUGGGGCUCAUUCCACGAGUUCCGUGCCGCAGCAAACGCAUUAAGUGCCCCGCCUGGGGAGUACGGCCGCAAGGCUAAAAYCCAAAGAAAUUGACGGGGGCCCGCACAAGCGGCGGAGCAUGCGGAUUAAUUCGAUGCAACGCGAAGAACCUUACCAAGGCUUGACAUACACCGGAAAAGUGCAGAGAUGUGCUCCCCGCAAGGUCGGUGUACAUKGUGGUGCAUGGUGUCGUCAGCUCGUGUC
Molecule: ribosomal RNA, 624 nt
Filed under: Cellulomonas sp.
Lineage: Bacteria; Bacillati; Actinomycetota; Actinomycetes; Micrococcales; Cellulomonadaceae
Description: bacterial SSU rRNA
Rfam family: Bacterial small subunit ribosomal RNA
Source: RNAcentral